RNAcentral lists this ribosomal RNA (489 nucleotides) under uncultured Lachnospiraceae bacterium. RNAcentral describes it as "partial 16S ribosomal RNA". The record is from RNAcentral. Lineage: Bacteria; Bacillati; Bacillota; Clostridia; Lachnospirales; Lachnospiraceae.
CACGUAGUUAGCCGGAGCUUCCUCCCCAGGUACCGUCAUUUUCGUCCCUGGGGACAGUGGUUUACAAUCCAGAAGACCGUCUUCCCACACGCGGCGUCGCUGCAUCAGGGUUUCCCCCAUUGUGCAAUAUUCCCCACUGCUGCCUCCCGUAGGAGUUUGGGCCGUGUCUCAGUCCCAAUGUGGCCGUUCACCCUCUCAGGCCGGCUACUGAUCGUCGCCUUGGUGAGCCAUUACCCCACCAACAAGCUAAUCAGACGCGGAACCAUCGUAUACCACCAGAGUUUUUCACACCACUUCAUGCGAAGCUGUGCGCUUAUGCGGUAUUAGCACCUAUUUCUAAGUGUUAUCCCCCAGUAUACGGCAGGUUUUCCACGCGUUACUCACCCGUCCGCCACUAACUCAUAAAUCACUAGGUUUCAAUAUGAGUCCGUUCGACUUGCAUGUGUUAAGCACGCCGCCAGCGUUCAUCCUGAGCCAGGAUCAAACUCU